This 159-nucleotide ribosomal RNA is filed under the name Triticum aestivum (bread wheat). RNAcentral describes it as "partial small subunit ribosomal RNA". The record is from RNAcentral. Lineage: Eukaryota; Viridiplantae; Streptophyta; Magnoliopsida; Poales; Poaceae.
AUGUCACGUCGAGGUACUGCAGAAAAAAGAACUGCAAAAUCUGAUCCAAUUUUUCGUAAUCGAUUAGUUAACAUGGUGGUUAACCGUAUUCUGAAAGACGAAAAAAAUCAUUGGCUUAUCAAAUUCUCUAUCGCAGCACCUGAGUGCAACUUAGAGUAA